This 886-nucleotide long non-coding RNA is filed under the name Homo sapiens (human). RNAcentral describes it as "non-protein coding lnc-KCNV2-6:1". Lineage: Eukaryota; Metazoa; Chordata; Mammalia; Primates; Hominidae. The record is from RNAcentral.
GAGGAUGCUUUACUAGUCAAGUCUUUGUAUGAGACUUUGGCACUAGCUGGAUCCUUGAUUGUAGCUCCUGAGAGACUCUGCAGUGGAGAACUCAGCUAAGCCAUGCCCAGACUCCUGGCCACAGAAACUCUGAGAUAAUAAAUGUGUAUUGUUUUAAGCCACUAAGUUGGUGGUUAUUUGUUACACAGCAAUGCACAACUAACACACUGCUAUUUCCUCAAUUCCUUGAACAGUGCCUGGCUCAUAGUAGGUAGGUAAUAAAUACAAGUUGCACAAAUCAAUAAAUGAAAUUAAGUCCUGUUCUUCUGCUCUUUUUUUCCCCCUCUAAUGAGAUGAGCAUUCACCAGGGAACAAAAAGCCUAGCAUCCUUUUACAAUACCUCACAGACAAAAACCACCGCAUUUUUAUACGUGAUUAUCAUGGUAAUGCUAAUAUUAAUCAUUGAUAAAAUUGCCUUAUUGUGUUUCAUUUAUUAUUUCUUCAGAUGGAUGUAUUGGUUUCCAAGGGCUACCGUAACAAAUCACCACAAACUUGGUGGCGUCAAACAACAGAAUGAGACCCCCUGCAGGGGACAGCUACAAGGACAUUAUUUCCCUGAUCAUCAGCCUGGAGCUCUUUUCCAGAGAGCUGAUGUGUCUGUAUGAGAUUUGUACAUGAUUUCUCAUAAGGUUCUUUUCUUGAUCUUCAAGCAGGAAUUACAAGACAGACAUAGUAAGCUUGCUGACACACCUCUUAUUCUCUCUGGAACUGACCAUAAGCCAGAAUACAUUUGAUUAUCUGAUUUAGUGGAGAACAUAGUAAAAAGAAUAAAAUGGAUGAUAUAAAAAUUGCACCAGCAUAUACUUAACUAAGGUAGCUAUAUCCUUUUCAAUUUCUUUAUACAUAA